RNAcentral lists this ribosomal RNA (157 nucleotides) under Wickerhamomyces myanmarensis. RNAcentral describes it as "[Pichia] myanmarensis 5.8S ribosomal RNA". It matches the Rfam family "5.8S ribosomal RNA". From Rfam's summary of the family: 5.8S ribosomal RNA (5.8S rRNA) is a component of the large subunit of the eukaryotic ribosome. It is transcribed by RNA polymerase I as part of the 45S precursor that also contains 18S and 28S rRNA. The record is from RNAcentral. RNAcentral also lists the same sequence under 1 other name. Lineage: Eukaryota; Fungi; Ascomycota; Saccharomycetes; Phaffomycetales; Wickerhamomycetaceae.
AACUUUCAACAACGGAUCUCUUGGUUCUCGCAACGAUGAAGAACGCAGCGAACCGCGAUAAGUAUUGUGAAUUGCAGAUUUUCGUGAAUCAUCGAAUCUUUGAACGCACAUUGCACCCUCUGGUAUUCCAGAGGGUAUGCCUGUUUGAGCGUCAUUU